This 610-nucleotide ribosomal RNA is filed under the name Heterodera zeae. Its description in RNAcentral is "SSU rRNA". It matches the Rfam family "Eukaryotic small subunit ribosomal RNA", at positions 1015 to 1651 of the family's 1831-position model. The record is from RNAcentral. Lineage: Eukaryota; Metazoa; Nematoda; Chromadorea; Rhabditida; Heteroderidae.
CCGCCCUAGUUCUGACCGUAAACGAUGCCAACUAGCGAUCCGCCGGCGGAUUUAUUCGCCCUGGUGGGGAGCUUCCCGGAAACGAAAGUCUUCCGGUUCCGGGGGAAGUAUGGUUGCAAAGCUGAAACUUAAAGGAAUUGACGGAAGGGCACCACCAGGAGUGGAGCCUGCGGCUUAAUUUGACUCAACACGGGGAAACUCACCCGGCCCGGACACCGUAAGGAUUGACAGAUUGAUAGCUUUUUCAUGAUUCGGUGGAUGGUGGUGCAUGGCCGUUCUUAGUUCGUGGAGCGAUUUGUCUGGUUUAUUCCGAUAACGAGCGAGACUCUGGCCUACUAAAUAGUUGGCUCAUUGCUUCUGUGAGUACAACUUCUUAGAGGGAUUUUCGGUGUUCAGCCGCACGAAAUUGAGCAAUAACAGGUCUGUGAUGCCCUUAGAUGUCCGGGGCUGCACGCGCGCUACACUGGCAAAAUCAGCGUGCUUGUCCUUCCCCGAAAGGGGUUGGUAAACCGGUGAAAAUUUGCCGUGAUUGGGAUCGGACAUUGCAAUUAUUGUCCGUGAACGAGGAAUUCCUUGUAGGGGCGAGUCAUCAACUCGCUCUGAUUACGUC